AAUUGUCAGGAGGUUUUGACGUUUAGAAAUUGGUCUCACACUUCCAAUGAGAGAUGAGUUGGGCAUCUCUUUGUCUCUGCUACUUACAUACCACAUACUGGCAGUUCCCUCAGUUUCAUGAAGGUACCUCAAAUUAAUGAUGGCCAAUUUUCAGCCAUUUACGAAACAUCGAUGUUUAUUUAGUGAGAUACAUUCCCUUCAAGACGGAGGUAGCAGAUUGCACAAACACAUUGAAACAUUUCCAGCUGUUCACCAACAAUGUUACAUUUUGUCCAAUUUUCGAUUGAAUGGGAGAAAACGUAUACUCCAAAGCAUUAAUGCUUUGAAAUUGCUGCUGGAUGACUUAAGACAGCAGCACAAAAUUGAUUACGUUUUGACCUGGUUUUGGAAAAUUUUUUUAGCGUAAUCAGGUCAAAAGGCGGUCUUCACGAUCACCCUGACAGGCAGGAGUUCAAAUAUAGGCUGCGUUCCUAUAUACUUGGUCACAACGAAGGAGCGAUCACAGAAAAAGGCAAUGUUGAAGUCGACAACACGCCAGAUUUGGAAGGAAAUUACUUAUCUCUAACCGGUAAUAUUUUUCAACGUGUGUCAGUUGAUCUGAAUUCCACUGACUCGAUCGAAAAAAAUGAUGACUUGGAGAUUCUCAACAACGACGGACUUGAGAAUUUGGCAGGGUACAUCUGCCACAA
Molecule: long non-coding RNA, 689 nt
Organism: Bactrocera tryoni
Lineage: Eukaryota; Metazoa; Arthropoda; Insecta; Diptera; Tephritidae
Exons: 3
Source: RefSeq, a predicted model, not a curated record